RNAcentral lists this ribosomal RNA (253 nucleotides) under uncultured bacterium. Its description in RNAcentral is "partial 16S ribosomal RNA". It matches the Rfam family "Bacterial small subunit ribosomal RNA", at positions 524 to 776 of the family's 1533-position model. The record is from RNAcentral.
UACAGAGGCCUCAAGCGUUGUUCGGAUUCAUUGGGCGUAAAGGGUGCGUAGGCGGCGCGGUAAGUCGGAUGUGAAAUCUCGGAGCUUAACUCCGAAACUGCAUUCGAUACUGCCGUGCUUGAGGACUGGAGAGGAGACUGGAAUUUACGGUGUAGCGGUGAAAUGCGUAGAUAUCGUAAGGAAGACCAGUGGCGAAGGCGGGUCUCUGGACAGUUCCUGACGCUGAGGCACGAAGGCCAGGGGAGCAAACGGG